GUCCUUGUAGUUCAAUGGAUAGAAUAGCGGUUUCCUAAACCGUUGAUUCGGGUUCGAUUCCCGACGGGGAUA
This 72-nucleotide transfer RNA is filed under the name Candidatus Symbiothrix sp. RNAcentral's name for it is "tRNA-Arg". It matches the Rfam family "tRNA". From Rfam's summary of the family: Transfer RNA (tRNA) molecules are approximately 80 nucleotides in length. Their secondary structure includes four short double-helical elements and three loops (D, anti-codon, and T loops). The record is from RNAcentral. Lineage: Bacteria; Pseudomonadati; Bacteroidota; Bacteroidia; Bacteroidales.